UACGGGAGUGGCAAGCGUUAUCCGGAAUUAUUGGGCGUAAAGCGUCCGCAGGCGGCCUUGUAAGUCUGUUGUUAAAGCGUGGAGCUUAACUCCAUUUAAGCAAUGGAAACUGCAAGGCUUGAGUGUGGUAGGGGCAGAGGGAAUUCCCGGUGUAGCGGUGAAAUGCGUAGAUAUCGGGAAGAACACCAGUGGCGAAGGCGCUCUGCUGGGCCAUAACUGACGCUCAUGGACGAAAGCCAGGGGAGCGAAAGGGAUUAGAUACCCCUGUAGUCCUGGCCGUAAACGAUGAACACUAGGUGUCGGGGGAAUCGACCCCCUCGGUGUCGUAGCCAACGCGUUAAGUGUUCCGCCUGGGGAGUACGCACGCAAGUGUGAAACUCAAAGGAAUUGACGGGGGCCCGCACAAGCGGUGGAGUAUGUGGUUUAAUUCGAUGCAACGCGAAGAACCUUACCAGGGUUUGACAUCCUGCGAAUCCCUUGGAAACGAGGGAGUGCCUUCGGGAGCGCAGUGACAGGUGGUGCAUGGCUGUCGUCAGCUCGUGUCGUGAGAUGUUGGGUUAAGUCCCGCAACGAGCGCAACCCACGUCGUUAGUUGCCAGCAUUCAGUUGGGCACUCUAGCGAGACCGCCGGUGAUAAACCGGAGGAAGGUGUGGAUGACGUCAAGUCAUCAUGCCCCUUACAUCCUGGGCUACACACGUACUACAAUGCUACGGACAAAGGGCAGCAAACUCGCGAGAGCUAGCAAAUCCCAUAAACCGUGGCUCAGUUCAGAUCGUAGGCUGCAACUCGCCUACGUGAAGGAGGAAUCGCUAGUAAUCGCAGGUCAGCAUACUGCGGUGAAUACGUUCCCGGGCCU
Molecule: ribosomal RNA, 857 nt
Filed under: uncultured bacterium
Lineage: Bacteria
Description: SSU rRNA
Rfam family: Bacterial small subunit ribosomal RNA
Source: RNAcentral